This 301-nucleotide ribosomal RNA is filed under the name uncultured bacterium. RNAcentral's name for it is "partial 16S ribosomal RNA". It matches the Rfam family "Bacterial small subunit ribosomal RNA", at positions 509 to 809 of the family's 1533-position model. The record is from RNAcentral.
CAGCAGCCACGGGAAUACAGAGGGUGCGAGCGUUAAUCGGAUUUACUGGGCGUAAAGCGUGCGUAGGCGGCUUUUUAAGUCGGAUGUGAAAUCCCUGAGCUUAACUUAGGAAUUGCAUUCGAUACUGGGAAGCUAGAGUAUGGGAGAGGAUGGUAGAAUUCCAGGUGUAGCGGUGAAAUGCGUAGAGAUCUGGAGGAAUACCGAUGGCGAAGGCAGCCAUCUGGCCUAAUACUGACGCUGAGGUACGAAAGCAUGGGGAGCAAACAGGAUUAGAGACCCCUGUAGUCCCUGUCUCUUAUAA